UCCCUGGUGGCUCAGACGGUAAAGCAUCCGCCUGCAGGGCGGGAGACCCAGGUUCCAUCCCUGGGCUGGGAA
This 72-nucleotide transfer RNA is filed under the name Bos taurus (domestic cattle). It matches the Rfam family "tRNA". From Rfam's summary of the family: Transfer RNA (tRNA) molecules are approximately 80 nucleotides in length. The record is from Rfam by way of RNAcentral. Lineage: Eukaryota; Metazoa; Chordata; Mammalia; Artiodactyla; Bovidae. RNAcentral also lists the same sequence under 5 other names.